UGCUUACAAGUAGUCAGAGCCCGUUAAUGGGUGAUGGCGUGCCUUUUGUAGAAUGAACCGGCGAGUUACGAUUUGAUGCAAGGUUAAGCAGUAAAUGUGGAGCCGUAGCGAAAGCGAGUCUGAAUAGGGCGUUUAGUAUUUGGUCGUAGACCCGAAACCAGGUGAUCUACCCUUGGUCAGGUUGAAGUUCAGGUAACACUGAAUGGAGGACCGAACCGACUUACGUUGAAAAGUGAGCGGAUGAACUGAGGGUAGCGGAGAAAUUCCAAUCGAACCUGGAGAUAGCUGGUUCUCUCCGAAAUAGCUUUAGGGCUAGCCUCAAGUGAUGAUUAUUGGAGGUAGAGCACUGUUUGGACGAGGGGCCCCUCUCGGGUUACCGAAUUCAGACAAACUCCGAAUGCCAAUUAAUUUAACUUGGGAGUCAGAACAUGGGUGAUAAGGUCCGUGUUCGAAAGGGAAACAGCCCAGACCACCAGCUAAGGUCCCAAAAUAUAUGUUAAGUGGAAAAGGAUGUGGCGUUGCCCAGACAACUAGGAUGUUGGCUUAGAAGCAGCCAUCAUUUAAAGAGUGCGUAAUAGCUCACUAGUCGAGUGACACUGCGCCGAAAAUGUACCGGGGCUAAACAUAUUACCGAAGCUGUGGAUUGUCCUUUGGACAAUGGUAGGAGAGCGUUCUAAGGGCGUUGAAGCAUGAUCGUAAGGACAUGUGGAGCGCUUAGAAGUGAGAAUGCCGGUGUGAGUAGCGAAAGACGGGUGAGAAUCCCGUCCACCGAUUGACUAAGGUUUCCAGAGGAAGGCUCGUCCGCUCUGGGUUAGUCGGGUCCUAAGCUGAGGCCGACAGGCGUAGGCGAUGGAUAACAGGUUGAUAUUCCUGUACCACCUAUAAUCGUUUUAAUCGAUGGGGGGACGCAGUAGGAUAGGCGAAGCGUGCGAUUGGAUUGCACGUCUAAGCAGUAAGGCUGAGUAUUAGGCAAAUCCGGUACUCGUUAAGGCUGAGCUGUGAUGGGGAGAAGACAUUGUGUCUUCGAGUCGUUGAUUUCACACUGCCGAGAAAAGCCUCUAGAUAGAAAAUAGGUGCCCGUACCGCAAACCGACACAGGUAGUCAAGAUGAGAAUUCUAAGGUGAGCGAGCGAACUCUCGUUAAGGAACUCGGCAAAAUGACCCCGUAACUUCGGGAGAAGGGGUGCUCUUUAGGGUUAACGCCCAGAAGAGCCGCAGUGAAUAGGCCCAAGCGACUGUUUAUCAAAAACACAGGUCUCUGCUAAACCGUAAGGUGAUGUAUAGGGGCUGACGCCUGCCCGGUGCUGGAAGGUUAAGAGGAGUGGUUAGCUUCUGCGAAGCUACGAAUCGAAGCCCCAGUAAACGGCGGCCGUAACUAUAACGGUCCUAAGGUAGCGAAAUUCCUUGUCGGGUAAGUUCCGACCCGCACGAAAGGCGUAACGAUUUGGGCACUGUCUCAACGAGAGACUCGGUGAAAUCAUAGUACCUGUGAAGAUGCAGGUUACCCGCGACAGGACGGAAAGACCCCGUGGAGCUUUACUGUAGCCUGAUAUUGAAAUUCGGCACAGCUUGUACAGGAUAGGUAGGAGCCUUUGAAACGUGAGCGCUAGCUUACGUGGAGGCGCUGGUGGG
RNAcentral lists this ribosomal RNA (1632 nucleotides) under Staphylococcus aureus. Its description in RNAcentral is "partial 23S ribosomal RNA". It matches the Rfam family "Bacterial large subunit ribosomal RNA", at positions 561 to 2196 of the family's 2925-position model. Lineage: Bacteria; Bacillati; Bacillota; Bacilli; Caryophanales; Staphylococcaceae. The record is from RNAcentral.